UUGAACGCUGGCGGCAUGCUUUACACAUGCAAGUCGAACGGUAACAGCACUUCGGUGGCUGACGAGUGGCGAACGGGUGAGUAAUACAUCGGAACGUGCCUAGUAGUGGGGGAUAACUACUCGAAAGAGUAGCUAAUACCGCAUGAGAUCUAAGGAUGAAAGCAGGGGACCUUCGGGCCUUGCGCUACUAGAGCGGCUGAUGGCAGAUUAGGUAGUUGGUGGGAUAAAAGCUUACCAAGCCGACGAUCUGUAGCUGGUCUGAGAGGACGACCAGUCACACUGGGACUGAGACACGGCCCAGACUCCUACGGGAGGCAGCAGUGGGGAAUUUUGGACAAAGGGCGCAAGCCUGAUCCAGCAAUGCCGCGUGCAGGAUGAAGGCCUUCGGGUUGUAAACUGCUUUUGUACGGAACGAAAAGCCCUCUUCUAAUACAGGAGGGUCAUGACGGUACCGUAAGAAUAAGCACCGGCUAACUACGUG
Molecule: ribosomal RNA, 481 nt
Filed under: uncultured bacterium
Lineage: Bacteria
Description: partial 16S ribosomal RNA
Rfam family: Bacterial small subunit ribosomal RNA
Source: RNAcentral